This is a long non-coding RNA of Vollenhovia emeryi, 525 nucleotides long. RefSeq lists it as uncharacterized. NCBI's taxonomy places the organism in Eukaryota, Metazoa, Arthropoda, Insecta, Hymenoptera, Formicidae. The record is from RefSeq and is a predicted model, not a curated record. The transcript is spliced from 2 exons.
UUUUAUACGAUAUCGAGAAUUAAGAAUACGUUGGGACCCACGAACACAUCGUUAGACAAGAAGUUCGUAUUUAUCAUCCAGUUUCUUCGUGUCCUGAUAGGCCUUAGGAUUUCCUUAGCAAGAAUGAAUUAUUACACUCCUCAGGAAAUGUCAUCCACCAAGAAACAGCGUAGCGUGUAAGUACUACAAAGUUAUCGUAUAUUUUCCUUUACCAUUUUCCACAUUUAAUUGUAUUUUUCAAACAGUUUUAACAAUCGUCGUUACACACCAUAUGUUCAUCGAAGCAGUUAUACGCCAUCCGUUCCUCAAGAUGAAACUGUAUCGUGCAAGAAACAGUGUGGUGACGUUUCUGAUGAUGAAUCUCAUAACCCACCGCGUAUCAUGUGCAGGAGGUUACCACUGACAUCUACAGCAUUCAAAUACAUAGAUAUUGGGAUCAGAGUAGUACCUCGUGCAUCCUACGUAGAAAUAAUUCUCGGCGAUAAUCAAGGACAUCAGAUGGAGUUAGAUCAAUCAAUUUGGAAA